CAUCGCAAAACCUGUGAUCCCCUCUUAAUAGUGUGGGAUCCCUAAGGACUCAAGAAUCAUAAAAGAGUACUGAUGAUCCAUACUUGAGUGUAUACUUUUAUUCGCUGAUCAUCACUCCGCACAACUAACGUCAAAGGAACUGAUACCUUUGAGUUAGCCCUUUCACCUGAGCUUGAUGUUGUUGUUCCUUCUUGGCUCAAGUUGAAAGCAAGACAUGAUGAAGUCUUCAAGUAGCUUUCCCAUACAUAAUGCGGAAAGCCUAGCUUAUGUAUU
RNAcentral lists this long non-coding RNA (273 nucleotides) under Hordeum vulgare. Its description in RNAcentral is "long non-coding RNA (HVUL_LNC004850)". Lineage: Eukaryota; Viridiplantae; Streptophyta; Magnoliopsida; Poales; Poaceae. The record is from RNAcentral.